GCUGCAUCCUGCUCUCGUCAUGGCUGCUUGGCUCCAUUUGUUUUGAGGUCCCCGUUAGCCACACAGAGUCCAUCUUGUUCUCAGGAGUAUUUUUGAUUUCAUUUUAUUUCACAUAGUUAAUAAUUCUUUACAUUAAACUUUCACAAUUCAAAUUGCUGUGUGGUUCCUAUCUCCUGAUUGGGCCCUGACUGGUACAGGGACUAAGACAUAAGGUUCAGUCCCUCUCUGGUGACUACACUGCGGUGAACUUGGGAGUACCAGGCGGCCAUCUUUUCUGCUGUGUGGACUGGAAAUAUAGAAGAAGCUGGUCUACAGAGCAGAGAGGAGAACAAAAUAGGGGCACAGGGAGAAGGAACAAGUGAUGGAGGCUGCCAGUCUGUUCCUGAAGUCCACUGCACCUGGGAGACGCCCCAGCCUCCUAAUAAUUCUACUUUCCUCCUCUUUUAUUUUUCUUUUUCUGUUUAAGCUAGCUCUAGUGUGUUUCUGUAACUUACAACCAAAAGAGACUUUAAUACAAUCUCUGGGAGAGGCUGUGCUGCCUCUCAUUAGAAUCUCUUAAUAUACAUUAGUUUCAUCAGAACAUUUAGAGUUUGAAAGACGUCCUCUUUUGCUAUUUAUAAAGCACAAAUCGUGGGCUGGUUAUCCUCCAUUUGCCACUGCAGAUCCGCCUUCCUCCAUUCUCCACCCUGCUCCACGCACCGGGAGGCUGACCUCUGCAGAGUCCUUGUUGCUCCACCUUCCAGCUCAGCUCCGGUAACGGGACACUGGAAGGAGAGGAGAGAGCAGGAGGAGAGAGAUGUGAGCACAAUUAUUCCCCCGCUCCCUCUCAGCCAGACCUCAGGUGGGCAGUGGCCGCCUCCUCCACCUACAGUCCUGUCAGACAGUCUCUCUCCCACAGCCACAGCUUUGUUUGUUGCUCCUUCAGGACGAGGGAAGUUACUGCCCUCCCACAUCGCUACUCCCUGAGUGCUCCGCCAUUGCUCAUCUGUUACCUCAUCCCGGCCAGCACCUUUGUAAAUAAUCCUUCAUUAAACCCUUCAGUCACCAUGUUCGGCAAACCGUCUGUUUUCCGCGGAGCCCUGGCCAGUACAGCAGCCAUGGGAAGGAGGGGAGCAGGGGUCAGCGUUUGUUACAGAGGGGAUACAAGGAGAAAGACGGGGGCUUCUGACACGCAAAAUGGGAUCGUGGAGAAGGAUAAACGCCUUAAAGGCAGCCUCCUUAAAUUGCCUCUUCAGGUUAUUCUUC
Molecule: long non-coding RNA, 1245 nt
Filed under: Equus caballus (horse)
Lineage: Eukaryota; Metazoa; Chordata; Mammalia; Perissodactyla; Equidae
Description: lncRNA (ENSECAG00000050592.1)
Source: RNAcentral